Molecule: ribosomal RNA, 301 nt
Filed under: uncultured bacterium
Lineage: Bacteria
Description: partial 16S ribosomal RNA
Rfam family: Bacterial small subunit ribosomal RNA
Source: RNAcentral
CAGCCGCCGCGGGAAUACGAAGGGUGCAAGCGUUACUCGGAAUUACUGGGCGUAAAGCGUGCGUAGGUGGUGGUUUAAGUCCGUUGUGAAAGCCCUGGGCUCAACCUGGGAAUUGCAGUGGAUACUGGGUCACUAGAGUGUGGUAGAGGAUAGUGGAAUUUCCGGUGUAGCAGUGAAAUGCGUAGAGAUCGGAAGGAACAUCUGUGGCGAAGGCGGCUAUCUGGGCCAACACUGACACUGAGGCACGAAAGCGUGGGGAGCAAACAGGAUUAGAUACCCCGGUAGUCCCUGUCUCUUAUAC